Molecule: long non-coding RNA, 928 nt
Filed under: Solanum tuberosum (potato)
Lineage: Eukaryota; Viridiplantae; Streptophyta; Magnoliopsida; Solanales; Solanaceae
Description: long non-coding RNA (STUB_LNC004271)
Source: RNAcentral
AUGACAAUAAUUCAUACAAUACUAUAAGCCAAAAUAAUACAUUAAUGACCAAUGGAUAUGUUGUGCCUCAUCAAGCCAUGGAGAUAUUUCAACUAGGGGAAGUGUCACAAAAUAACUCUAAUAGCUUCUUGAAACAGCCAAUUUUUAUGAAUCCAUCCUUUCAAUUUCAGUGAGAAGGCGGUGCACAGCGAUUAAAUAUUUCGACAACAAUAAUUACUAUGCCUCAAUCCAAAACAAGUUGAUCAGUCGCGGACUACUAGUAAUCUCGACAACAAUAAUUACUAUGCCUCAAUCCAAAACAAGUUGAUCAGUCGCGGACUACUAGUAAUCUCGACAACAAUAAUUACUAUGCCUCAAUCCAAACAGUGAUCAGUCGCGGACUACUAGUAUCUCGACAACAAUAAUUACUAUGCCUCAAUCCAAAACAAGUUGAUCAGUCGCGGACUACUAGUAAUCUCGACAACAAUAAUUACUAUGCCUCAAUCCAAAACAAGUUGAUCAGUCGCGGACUACUAGUAUCUCGACAACAAUAAUUACUAUGCCUCAAUCCAAAACAAGUUGAUCAGUCGCGGACUACUAGUAAUCUCGACAACAAUAAUUACUAUGCCUCAAUCCAAACAGUGAUCAGUCGCGGACUACUAGUAUCUCGACAACAAUAAUUACUAUGCCUCAAUCCAAACAGUGAUCAGUCGCGGACUACUAGUAUCUCGACAACAAUAAUUACUAUGCCUCAAUCCAAACAGUGAUCAGUCGCGGACUACUAGUAUCUCGACAACAAUAAUUACUAUGCCUCAAUCCAAAACAAGUUGAUCAGUCGCGGACUACUAGUAUCUCAUCAACAAUUGUAACAUAUAUAUGUAAUUUAAAGGUCAUGGUACUAUAGAGGAAAAAAAGAUAGUUGUAUUAAUACAGAAUUUUAUUUUCUAGC